GAAAUCAAUGUUAGUGUAUUUUAAAUGAACUCCUAAAUUAUCUCACCUUCAGUCAUAGUGGAUUAACUCCAGAAUGAUUCCUAAAAAUUAUGGUGGUUUUAAAUGCUUAGUGGGUACAGCAUUAUAUAUCCUACUACCAGUGGGAGGUGAAAUAAUAAAAGAAAAUGCUAGAAAAAAAACAAUAACAUUUUUUCUGUUAGAUUCCACUUAAAGACCUCUAGAUAUACCUCCAGAGAGCUACUGAUGAAAAUAUCACAAUGCAAUAACAUUCGUGGAGCAAGAACCCCUGCACUGCUGCUGCAUGGGGCAUAGAGACCAUAAAGAUAAUAUAUAUCAAAUAAAGAGAUUUUUAAAAGUAUAUGAUUAGAGAGUCAUUUGCAAGUUGUUUUUCUUACUGGCUUUGGAACCAGGUGUCAGUAGGUUUAAUCAAUGUACACUUAUUUGUUAGUGUGAUACUAGUGAGUCUUUAUUAUGGUAGAAGAGAAACACCUGUGACAGAAAAAAAAAAAGCACUGUAAGUACUUCAUCAUUUCAGCCACAGCUGCUCCGUGGCACUUGUGCUGAAUUGUAAGAGAUAGUAAAACCCAUAAUCAUUUUCUUCUUCUGCAGCUUCUAGCCAAAACACAAUUAGAGUGAAACGCUGGGCUUUGCAGAAAGGAAGAGGUGAAACCGUGACUCCCCGUGCCAUCCCCAGGGUGGGAUGGGGAUGAGAUUGAGGAUGGCAGCCCCCUGAGUGAGGAAUGUGGAGGACAACAUCGGGCCCAGGAGCACACACACAGUGAUAUGGUAGCAAAUACAUGACAAAUGAGUAAUAAACCUUUACAUAAGGUGUUCUGGUCCCAUCUCCAUCAGCAGGGCUCACACUGAAGUACAAAAUGGAACAAGAGGAGAGAAAGGUAUUGAGUCAGCUUUACCAUCGCAACGAUGGCAACACCGCCGAUCAUCAUGCAUGUGGGCCAGAAGAGCGAGUGGAACAGCACGUUGGAGCUGUACAGUUUGGUCAAUAUCACAUUCUUCUGAGUGCCCUCAGGAUCAUAGAAGCAGGAGAAGCGUUGAUACUUUCGGAAGUUUUCCAUCACAACGUUCACCAUCGACAUGGAUUCCUCGUAGUUCUUGCC
This is a long non-coding RNA of Centrocercus urophasianus (Greater sage-grouse), 1118 nucleotides long. RefSeq lists it as uncharacterized. The record is from RefSeq and is a predicted model, not a curated record. The transcript is spliced from 3 exons. NCBI's taxonomy places the organism in Eukaryota, Metazoa, Chordata, Aves, Galliformes, Phasianidae.